AUUGAACGCUGGCGGAAUGCUUUACACAUGCAAGUCGAACGGUAGAGGGGGCAACCCCUCGAGAGUGGCGAACGGGUGAGUAAUAUAUCGGAACGUGCCCAGUCGUGGGGGAUAACGUAGCGAAAGUUACGCUAAUACCGCAUACGAUCUAAGGAUGAAAGCGGGGGAUCGCAAGACCUCGCGCGAUUGGGGCGGCCGAUGGCAGAUUAGGUAGUUGGUAGGGUAAAGGCCUACCAAGCCGACGAUCUGUAGCUGGUCUGAGAGGAUGAUCAGCCUCACUGGGACUGAGACACGGCCCAGACUCCUACGGGAGGCAGCAGUGGGGAAUUUUGGACAAUGGACGCAAGUCUGAUCCAGCCAUUCCGCGUGCAGGAUGAAGGCCCUCGGGUUGUAAACUGCUUUUGUACAGAACGAAAAGGCUCUGGUUAAUACCUAGGGCUCAUGACGGUACUGUAAGAAUAAGCACCGGCUAACUACGUGCCAGCAGCCGCUGUAA
This 496-nucleotide ribosomal RNA is filed under the name uncultured bacterium. Its description in RNAcentral is "partial 16S ribosomal RNA". It matches the Rfam family "Bacterial small subunit ribosomal RNA", at positions 30 to 523 of the family's 1533-position model. The record is from RNAcentral.